RNAcentral lists this ribosomal RNA (496 nucleotides) under uncultured bacterium. RNAcentral's name for it is "partial 16S ribosomal RNA". It matches the Rfam family "Bacterial small subunit ribosomal RNA", at positions 28 to 507 of the family's 1533-position model. The record is from RNAcentral.
GAUGAACGCUGGCGGCGUGCCUAAUACAUGCAAGUCGAGCGAACAGACGAGGAGCUUGCUCCUCUGACGUUAGCGGCGGACGGGUGAGUACCCGUUGGAUACCUAACCUUUAGACCUGGGUUACCUUCGGGAACCCGAGCCAAUACCGGAUAAUAUUAUUAACCGCAUGGUUCAAUUGUUGAAAGCGGGUUUUCCGUUAACUUAUGGAUGAUCCGCGCCGCAUUAGGUAGUUGGUUAGGUAACGGCUUAACAAGGCAACGAUGGGUAGCCGACCUGAGAGGGUGAUCGGUCACACUGGAACUGAGACACGGUCCAGACUCCUACGGGAGGCAGCAGUAGGGAAUCUUCCGCAAUGGGCGAAAGCCUGACGGAGCAACGCCGCGUGAGUGAUGAAGGUCUUCGGAUCGUAAAACUCUGUUAUUAGGGAAGAACAAAUGUGUAAGUAACUAUGCACGUCUUGACGGUACCUAAUCAGAAAGCCACGGCUAACUACGUG